This 440-nucleotide ribosomal RNA is filed under the name uncultured bacterium. Its description in RNAcentral is "partial 16S ribosomal RNA". It matches the Rfam family "Bacterial small subunit ribosomal RNA", at positions 339 to 795 of the family's 1533-position model. The record is from RNAcentral.
CUACGGGGGGCUGCAGUGGGGAAUAUUGCGCAAUGGGGGCAACCCUGACGCAGCAAUACCGCGUGAGUGAAGAAGGUUUUCGGAUCGUAAAGCUCUGUUAUUGGGGAAGAAAAAAGACGGUACCCAAGAAGAAAGUCCCGGCUAACUACGUGCCAGCAGCCGCGGUAAUACGUAGGGGACAAGCGUUGUCCGGAUUUACUGGGCGUAAAGGGCACGCAGGCGGUUUUUUAAGUCAGAUGUGAAAGGUACCGGCUCAACCGGUGACAUGCAUUUGAAACUGAAAGACUUGAGUAUUGGAGAGGCAAGUGGAAUUCCUAGUGUAGCGGUGAAAUGCGUAGAUAUUAGGAGGAACACCGGUGGCGAAGGCGGCUUGCUGGACAAAUACUGACGCUGAGGUGCGAAAGCGUGGGGAGCAAACAGGAUUAGAUACCCCGGUAGUC